Molecule: small nuclear RNA, 107 nt
Organism: Loxodonta africana (African savanna elephant)
Lineage: Eukaryota; Metazoa; Chordata; Mammalia; Proboscidea; Elephantidae
Source: Ensembl
AUGCUCGCUUCAGCAGUACACACACUACAAUUGGGACAACCUAGAGAAGGCUGGCAUGGCCCCUGCACAAGGAUGACACACAAGCUUGUGAAACCAAGAACACCCCA